UGCGCGGAAGAUGUAACGGGGCUAAACCAUGCACCGAAGCUGCGGCAGCGACGCUUAUGCGUUGUUGGGUAGGGGAGCGUUCUGUAAGCCUGUGAAGGUGUACUGUGAGGUAUGCUGGAGGUAUCAGAAGUGCGAAUGCUGACAUAAGUAACGAUAAAGCGGGUGAAAAGCCCGCUCGCCGGAAGACCAAGGGUUCCUGUCCAACGUUAAUCGGGGCAGGGUGAGUCGACCCCUAAGGCGAGGCCGAAAGGCGUAGUCGAUGGGAAACAGGUUAAUAUUCCUGUACUUGGUGUUACUGCGAAGGGGGGACGGAGAAGGCUAUGUUGGCCGGGCGACGGUUGUCCCGGUUUAAGCGUGUAGGCUGGUUUUCCAGGCAAAUCCGGAAAAUCAAGGCUGAGGCGUGAUGACGAGGCACUACGGUGCUGAAGCAACAAAUGCCCUGCUUCCAGGAAAAGCCUCUAAGCAUCAGGUAACAUCAAAUCGUACCCCAAACCGACACAGGUGGUCAGGUAGAGAAUACCAAGGCGCUUGAGAGAACUCGGGUGAAGGAACUAGGCAAAAUGGUGCCGUAACUUCGGGAGAAGGCACGCUGAUAUGUAGGUGAAGCGACUUGCUCGUGGAGCUGAAAUCAGUCGAAGAUACCAGCUGGCUGCAACUGUUUAUUAAAAACACAGCACUGUGCAAACACGAAAGUGGACGUAUACGGUGUGACGCCUGCCCGGUGCCGGAAGGUUAAUUGAUGGGGUCAGCGCAAGCGAAGCUCUUGAUCGAAGCCCCGGUAAACGGCGGCCGUAACUAUAACGGUCCUAAGGUAGCGAAAUUCCUUGUCGGGUAAGUUCCGACCUGCACGAAUGGCGUAAUGAUGGCCAGGCUGUCUCCACCCGAGACUCAGUGAAAUUGAACUCGCUGUGAAGAUGCAGUGUACCCGCGGCAAGACGGAAAGACCCCGUGAACCUUUACUAUAGCUUGACACUGAACAUUGAGCCUUGAUGUGUAGGAUAGGUGGGAGGCUUUGAAGUGUGGACGCCAGUCUGCAUGGAGCCGACCUUGAAAUACCACCCUUUAAUGUUUGAUGUUCUAACGUUGACCCGUAAUCCGGGUUGCGGACAGUGUCUGGUGGGUAGUUUGACUGGGGCGGUCUCCUCCUAAAGAGUAACGGAGGAGCACGAAGGUUGGCUAAUCCUGGUCGGACAUCAGGAGGUUAGUGCAAUGGCAUAAGCCAGCUUGACUGCGAGCGUGACGGCGCGAGCAGGUGCGAAAGCAGGUCAUAGUGAUCCGGUGGUUCUGAAUGGAAGGGCCAUCGCUCAACGGAUAAAAGGUACUCCGGGGAUAACAGGCUGAUACCGCCCAAGAGUUCAUAUCGACGGCGGUGUUUGGCACCUCGAUGUCGGCUCAUCACAUCCUGGGGCUGAAGUAGGUCCCAAGGGUAUGGCUGUUCGCCAUUUAAAGUGGUACGCGAGCUGGGUUUAGAACGUCGUGAGACAGUUCGGUCCCUAUCUGCCGUGGGCGCUGGAGAACUGAGGGGGGCUGCUCCUAGUACGAGAGGACCGGAGUGGACGCAUCACUGGUGUUCGGGUUGUCAUGCCAAUGGCACUGCCCGGUAGCUAAAUGCGGAAGAGAUAAGUGCUGAAAGCAUCUAAGCACGAAACUUGCCCCGAGAUGAGUUCUCCCUGACUCCUUGAGAGUCCUGAAGGAACGUUGAAGACGACGACGUUGAUAGGCCGGGUGUGUAAGCGCAGCGAUGCGUUGAGCUAACCGGUACUAAUGAACCGUGAG
Molecule: ribosomal RNA, 1776 nt
Filed under: Escherichia coli
Lineage: Bacteria; Pseudomonadati; Pseudomonadota; Gammaproteobacteria; Enterobacterales; Enterobacteriaceae
Description: partial 23S ribosomal RNA
Rfam family: Bacterial large subunit ribosomal RNA
Source: RNAcentral